This 754-nucleotide long non-coding RNA is filed under the name Homo sapiens (human). Its description in RNAcentral is "non-protein coding lnc-PIDD1-2:3". Lineage: Eukaryota; Metazoa; Chordata; Mammalia; Primates; Hominidae. The record is from RNAcentral.
GGAACGGCGCGUGGGCCCGGGCAGAAGCUGCUGGCGGUAGGCUCGCCUUGACUCCUUGGUGGUUCCCUGGCCGCGGCGACCGGUGGUCCCACGUCCAGCCGGGCUCAGUGAGCUUCCCCGGGCGCUGCCUGGACAGGCCUGCCUGCGUGCUGGGACAUGUCUGGCCUCCAAGGACCGUCGGUGGGCGAUGGCUGCAACGGUGGAGGGGCCAGAGCUGGAGGCAGCUGCUGCCGCAGGAGAUGCUUCAGAGGAUUCGGACGCAGGGUCCAGGGCGCUGCCUUUCCUGGGCGGCAACCGGCUGAGCUUGGACCUGUACCCCGGGGGCUGCCAGCAGCUGCUGCACCUGUGUGUCCAGCAGCCUCUGCAGCUGCUGCAGGUGGAAUUCUUGCGUCUGAGCACUCACGAGGACCCUCAGCUGCUGGAGGCCACCCUGGCCCAGCUGCCUCAGAGCCUGUCCUGCCUCCGCUCCCUGGUCCUCAAAGGGUCGAUCUGGGACCUCGGACCCUGGCUCUGAGGGCCACAUCCGCCUCCCCCCUUCCCAGGAGGGCAACGCCGGGACACACUGGGUGCCUGUCUCCGGGGUGCCCUGACCAACCUGCCCGCUGGUCUGAGUGGCCUGGCCCAUCUGGCCCACCUGGACCUGAGCUUCAACAGCCUGGAGACACUGCCGGCCUGUGUCCUGCAGAUGCGAGGUCUGGGUGCGCUCUUGCUGUCUCACAACUGCCUCUCUGAGCUGCCUGAGGCUCUGGGGGCC